AAGUCGUAACAAGGUUUCCGUAGGUGAACCUGCGGAAGGAUCAUUAACACGUAUCCAAACGUUAAAACCCCCCCCGUGAACCUUCAUCCUGCUCUUGUAACCCGCGUAGUUCGCAAUCUCUGAUAAAUCAUAGCCCGGAAAGUUGUAGUGAUUCAGAGACCUCUGGCUACGUGCGAACAUUGGAACAGUUACAAUCGAGCGGUAGUUCUAUAGGCAAUGUUUCCCCAAGCGGUCUACGGGAAUCGUAGAAGCGUAUCCUUGCACAAUCAAUGACACCGUACACUCGGGCAGGAGCUUUGCCAAAGGGUCCCCAUGCCCCCUAAUAACCCCACAGUUUAAUGUGAAGCUCAAUGUAAUAACCGAACAAACUGUUAACAAUGGAUAUCUUGGUUCUC
RNAcentral lists this unclassified non-coding RNA (395 nucleotides) under fungal sp. RNAcentral describes it as "partial internal transcribed spacer region". The stretch from base 1 to 46 matches the Rfam family "Eukaryotic small subunit ribosomal RNA", at positions 1786 to 1831 of the family's 1831-position model. Lineage: Eukaryota; Fungi. The record is from RNAcentral.